RNAcentral lists this small RNA (125 nucleotides) under Marmota monax (woodchuck). Lineage: Eukaryota; Metazoa; Chordata; Mammalia; Rodentia; Sciuridae. The record is from RNAcentral.
GCUGGGCAUGGUGAUGCAUGCCUGUAAUCCCAGUGACUUGGGAGGCUGAGACAGGUGUAUUGUGAGUUCAAAGCCAGCCUCAGCAACAGAGAGGUGCUAAGCAACUCAGUGAGACCCUGUCUCUA